Molecule: long non-coding RNA, 551 nt
Organism: Mustela erminea (ermine)
Lineage: Eukaryota; Metazoa; Chordata; Mammalia; Carnivora; Mustelidae
Exons: 2
Source: RefSeq, a predicted model, not a curated record
UGUCUUUUCUACAGAGAGAUGAUACCAGACAUUAACUUUGAAGAUCAUGGAAAGUUGCCCCAACGGAUUGGCAGCCCAUUGUUUACAUGCAUUUCCUCUUUCCUGCGAAUAUAUGUCCCCUUUUUGAAAUUCUACAUCCUUCUUCCUCAACCUGUAACUGUGGCACAGAAGCUCCAGUCAACCUAUCUCUGAGCCUUAUGUUUUUCAAUUUCCCAUAAUUAAGAUUUUUUUUAAGUUUCUUUAAACUGUCUUAUCUCAUUUUAAUUAACAGGCCAAAGAACUCAGAAUGGAGCAAGAAAAACAAGUUUUUCUCUCCUAAAUUCACUUCUGCUGAAUGACCUGAUUUCUGUGCUUCAGACCCCAGAUCUAACGUGAACACGGAGCUGGGGAUCAAGAGGAACAGCAGAUUCAUCACUUCACUGGCAGAGGAAGCCUCAGCAGCUUGAUGCUUUGAAGUGGUUUCCAUUUCAGUCACCAGGACAACUGUAGGAAGACCACUUCAUAUGUUCAGUGAGAAACUUUUCGGUAUUUUUUAGAAUGGUAUGGUAAAA